This 273-nucleotide long non-coding RNA is filed under the name Elaeis guineensis (African oil palm). RNAcentral describes it as "long non-coding RNA (EGUI_LNC012846)". Lineage: Eukaryota; Viridiplantae; Streptophyta; Magnoliopsida; Arecales; Arecaceae. The record is from RNAcentral.
AUACAAUGGAAUUAUGCUAAAAUCAAAAAUUUUGGUUGUAACCUCCUCCUAUUUUCCAUUUAUUAUUAAUUUUCAACUUCAAAAAUAAAGAAAAGAAACAAAAGAGAGGAAUAGGAGAGGGCCAUUACCUUUUCAUUACCUUCGAUCCAGAUUAAAUUUUGAAAAAUCCGGCCCUUUCUCCUUAGUUUUCAUUUUUUCCAAAAAAAGGGCUGAGAAGACGCGGAAGGCCAUCUUAAUCUUCCUCCUCUAUUAUGGAAGUGAAAGAGGCUGCCC